RNAcentral lists this ribosomal RNA (393 nucleotides) under uncultured bacterium. Its description in RNAcentral is "bacterial SSU rRNA". It matches the Rfam family "Bacterial small subunit ribosomal RNA", at positions 28 to 423 of the family's 1533-position model. The record is from RNAcentral.
GACGAACGCUGGCGGCGUGCUUAACACAUGCAAGUCGAGCGGUAAGGCCCUUUCGGGGGUACGACGAGCGGCGAACGGGUGAGUAACACGUGGGUGACCUGCCCUCAGCUCUGGGAUAAGCCUGGGAAACCGGGUCUAAUACUGGAUAUGACUCCAUGACGCAUGUUGUGGGGUGGAAAGCCUUGUGCGGCUGAGGAUGGGCCCGCGGCCUAUCAGCUUGUUGGUGGGGUGAUGGCCUACCAAGGCGACGACGGGUAGCCGGCCUGAGAGGGCGACCGGCCACACUGGGACUGAGACACGGCCCAGACUCCUACGGGAGGCAGCAGUGGGGAAUCUUGCGCAAUGGGCGAAAGCCUGACGCAGCGACGCCGCGUGAGGGAUGACGGCCUCGGU